This is a long non-coding RNA of Struthio camelus australis, 404 nucleotides long. RefSeq lists it as uncharacterized. The record is from RefSeq and is a predicted model, not a curated record. NCBI's taxonomy places the organism in Eukaryota, Metazoa, Chordata, Aves, Struthioniformes, Struthionidae.
CCUGCUAGCUCUUUCGUGUGUGUGAAUGUGCGUGUUUUUUCCCCUUCCCUCCACCUCCCUUCCUCUCUUGCUUUUUCUUUCAGAAAUAGACAGCCUACAGUCUGAAGAGAAGCUUAGAGAGAAAUCUAUGCCUUUUUGUCAUACAUGAUGAACUGAAUAAUCUCACGAGAAAGAGUUUAAGCAUCGUAGGGGCCUGUGAAGAACAUGGAUAUGGAUCCUCUAAGAAAGAUUUUUGUAUACUGUAAUAGGAAAAUGAGAGAGCAUUGCUAAAUGAGUCAGGAAGCAGCAACUACUUCCCUUGACAAUUACUGCUUUGCAUUAGAGCAGAGAAGCACCCAGACACCGGAAACAUCAUCUAAGGAGCAGCAGCAUGAUGACAAAGGACAAAACAUACAAUACAUUGA